CGAAGCUUCUGCGCUGGAGCCCCCGGACUUACCAGCGCAGAAGAAGAGAGAUGAGAGCAGUGAGGCACAGAGAAGGUGACCGCCUGAGGUAUCUCGGUUGAUGGAAUCUCACUCUGUUGCCUAGGCCAGAUGGAGUGCAGUAGCACGAUCUCAGCUCACUGCAGCUUCUGCCUCCCGGGUUCAAGCAACUCUCCUGCUUCAGCCUCCUGAGUAGUGAGAUUACAGGCUGCACCACAACGCCCAGCUAAUUUUUCUAUCUUUAGUAGAGAGGGGGUUUCACCAUGUUGGCCAGGCUGGUCUGGAACUGUUGACCUUAGGUGAUCCGCCUGCCUCGGCCUCCCAAAGUGCUGGGAUUACAGAUAUGAGCCACCGCAUCCGGCCUAUUCUGCUAGCCUAUUCUGCUAAUUUUUAAGUCUGUGCAACUUUCAAGGGAAAUUAAAUCCCGAUAUGCCCUACUCAUUUUACACCAAAGUCAUCAAAAUGUGGCUUUCAACGCCCCUUUGAAGUCCUAAAACUAGACUUGGUCAAGAGGCCCAAGUGUUUUAAGUGCAUCGGAAACAAAGAAACAUGUUAAUAAAAUGUUUCCUUCUUGGCAGCAUCCUGGUGAGUGCCUCCCUGGGUUGCAAAGGGAAAUGUGAUGAGGAAGAGGUGGGCUUGUGUGCUUUGAAGUGGGCAGGGCCUGGGAAUCUCUACAGGGCAGUGCAGCUGCUGUCCGCUU
This 718-nucleotide long non-coding RNA is filed under the name Homo sapiens (human). Its description in RNAcentral is "HSALNT0055103". Lineage: Eukaryota; Metazoa; Chordata; Mammalia; Primates; Hominidae. The record is from RNAcentral.